CCUUGUGUAUCCUGCCAGUAGUCAUAUGCUUGUCUCAAAGAUUAAGCCAUGCAUGUCUAAGUAUAAGCACUAGUACUGUGAAACUUCGAAUGGCUCAUUAAAUCAGUUAUCGUUUAUAUGAUUGUACCGUUACUACUUGCAUAGCCGUAGUAAUUCUAGAGGUUACAGUUGCGAAAAGUCCCGACUGUCUUCGGAAGGGAUGUAUUUAUUAGAGUAAAAACCAAUGUAGAUUUUGCCCGGUGUUGUGGUGAAUCAUAGUAACUAAUCGAAUCGCACGGUCUUUGCGCUGGCGAUGUUUUAUGCAAAUAUCUAUUCCAUCAACUGUCGAUGGUAAGGUAGUGACUUACCAUUGGUUGCAACGGGUGACGAAGAAUUAGGGUUCGAUUCCGGAGAGGGAGCCUGAGAAACGGCUACCACAUCCAAGUAAGGCAGCAGGCGCGCAGAUUACCCAAUCCUGACUCAGGGAGGUAGGGACAAGAUAUAACAAUACAAGGCUUUUGCAAGUCUUGCAAUUGGAAUGAGUAUAACCUAAAUCCUUUAACGAGGAUCCAUUGGAGGGUAAGUCUGUUGCCAGAAACCGCGGUAGAUCCAGCUUCAAUAGCGUACAUUAAAGUUGAGGCAGUUAAGAAGCCGUCAAUUGGAUCUUGGGAUAGCCCGGCCGGUCUGCCCCAAGGUAGGUUACUAGCCAAGCGUUUUGUCCUCGCAGAGACUUGGUGUGCUCUUACCUGAGUGUGUUCGGGAUCUGAAACGUUUACUUUUAAAAAAUGAGACUGUUCAAAGCAAGCCAGUGCGGGAAUACGUAAGCAUGGAAUAAUGGAAUAGGACUUUGGUUCUAAAAGGACGUAAAGACAGCAGAGUGACAAUAACUCUCAAAAAAGAAACAACAACUUUAUAAGACAUCGAAAGAUAACAUGAACUUCCCUAAGGUUGAUAACUGGUUGAUUUCACGUACAAAUGAAAACGUGUCGCGGACGUUGUAUUCACGCGGGACAUGUGGCUCUAGAGGAUUACAAGGGAUUUUAGAUAAAUUGUAAAUGUAGGUACCUAUUGAAGAUACUAUGGGUCGAAAAGGAGGUGUUUCAUUAGGCUGCCGAGCCUUGUGCAUUUUAGGUAGCCCAUAAAACCUGGCUGNNNNNNNNNNNCGGUUGAAAGAUUGACAAGUCAAACGUGUAAGACGGGCUAAGGAGUGUAUGUCAGAAUCACUGUACUUCGGGCUAGAAAUCCCACAUCAACUACGUGUCUUCGGCAGUGUCUGGUGUAAAAAUCACGUGAUUCCCUCAAAGGGUUUGGCAGCUAGAGGCUAAGGAGUCCGCAUUAACCUGAGGGAGUCCGCAUUAACAUUGAGGAGUCCGCAUUAACAUGCAGGGAGGCGGUAUUAACACUACAUUCGAUGUUAAUACCGACUCCCUCUAACCCUAUCCUUUAAAAAAAUUCAUAAAAAACUCAGGAUUAAAGUUCUGAAGUUGGAUUUUGG
RNAcentral lists this ribosomal RNA (1474 nucleotides) under Stylophora pistillata. Its description in RNAcentral is "bacterial SSU rRNA". The stretch from base 2 to 892 matches the Rfam family "Eukaryotic small subunit ribosomal RNA", at positions 4 to 1116 of the family's 1831-position model. The record is from RNAcentral. Lineage: Eukaryota; Metazoa; Cnidaria; Anthozoa; Scleractinia; Pocilloporidae.